GUUAAUUUGCUAGCUGCAGGUUUUUUCUUUCAUUCAAGUACCAUCACUGCAAGUGGUCGACCAGAGCACUAUAUGUAACUGUAGCGGUGUAAUAAGCUAUCAGUGGAGCGUAUAACCUCGGAGAGACGUUAUAUUACCGUGGAAAGAGUAUAACAGAUAACAGCUAGCUGUUAAGACUUAGAUACUAGUGCACAUGUGGUUUUUGCUAAGAAGUUAGCGAACAGCCAACUGGAGGAGCAGAGACUGUGUUUGUCACGGAGAAAAGAGCUGUGGACUUCGCGGAUGACUGUCUCCAUUUUGUUUGAGGCUUCUACGCACUCCAGCUACAUUCAGGCCUGCAACGGGGAACUUGGUACUAGUAUUUUGUUUGUUUAUGGGGUAAUGUGGAUUUUUUCUUGGUUGAUCUGUGACGUUUAAAACUUAUUAAGGGAUUCUGAGAACUGUUUAGAAUUUAAAACUGUAGUUGAAUGUUUGAUGACUGAACGUUCUUGUUAAAUAUUGUGUCUCUAUUAGUAAAAAAGGUUAAAGAUUUAAGCAUUGGUUUGAUUACGAGUGAGUGGUUGGUAUUUCUGUUUAUAAAUAGAAAAGAACUCAGGGUAGCUCCUUAAGUAAAAGGUAGUACACCAAAGGGGUGUUACACAUAUAUACAUAUAUACUCACAUACAGAUCUCUUUUACAUAAAACACAUCCAUCCUAUACAAAACAAAAUCCCUCAUAAAAUUAAAUGAAAUUCUCUGUUAACACAUUUUCAACAGAAAGGACAGUCCAUAUGUAUAUUGUUAGGUGAAGAUGAACAGACUUGCAGUUAAAUACUCAUAAUCAAGAUCACUAAUAAUUAUAGAAUGUACAGUAAAAUAGAAUAAUGUAAGUAACACUAAAAAUAUUAAGUAUAAUGCUCUCAGGAUUAUGGAACUAAAACACAGGAGUAUCAGUGCUAAUAUGUUAAUGUGUAAAUGUAAGUCAGAGACAUAGACAUUGGCACUACCUCCACUACCAGGUUUUAAGUUUAAGGGGGCAAUUAGUUUUUCACAUGGUUGAUAGGUGGAGGAUAACUUUUUUGCAUCAGUAAAAAUAAAUAGAUAAAAACUGUAUUGUGUGUUGCCUUUGUUUUAUGUCGUAUUUUGUUUGAAGAUCUAAAACUAUAUAGUAUGACAUAUACACAAAAACAGAAGAAAUCAAGAUGGGGCAAAUACUUUUUCACAUCACUGGGUUUAACAGGUGUAAUUGGUGUAUAAAAAAUGUUAUGGGUGUAUAUAAUAUAGAGGUGUAUACAACAAAUGUAUAAAACAUGUAUAAGAUAAGAUAAGAUAAGAUAAGAUAAGAUGUACUUUUAUUGGUCCCCCAUAAGGGAAAUUCAGAUUGACACAGCAGCACAAGUAGGAUGAGUAACAUCAAAGAAAGAAAGAAAAUAAUUUCCAUAAAUACCUACACAAUAAAAAUAAUAGAAACAAUAAAAGAGAUCUGUGUGUAUGUACAUAUGCUAGAAGGUGUACCACAGGUCACACCCUUACUUUCUCACAAUGUAACAGAAUUAACACGGACUCUGACUCUGAAAGCUAUGCUAACAGAAGUCAUGCUAACAAAUAGAGAGAUAAGUGUACACAACUGCACAGAUUUCAGUUUUUCACCAUAUAAGGAAUACAUAAUAUUAGAAAAAUACUUCAAGAUUCCUUUUUUACUUCUCUGACACAAAACAGGGUUUUCAGAAGAACCUGUAGCAUUUUUAAACAGACUUGAAGAGAAGAGGUUCUUCUACAGAGAUUUAAGGACAUCACAGUUACUUACAUUCAGAGGAAACAGGUGUGUUACAGUGCCAUCUCUCCACUAUGUUAAUAACAGAUCUGUGUGUGUGUGUCUGUGUGUGUCUGUGUAUGUGUGUGUGUUAUACUUGUGAUUUAUGGCCUUCUGUAUGUAGGGCUUUUUUUCUUUCAUUUUGACUUACAAUUCAUCAGAAAAGUAAUAAAGCAGGAAGAAUGACACACAAUUUCAAAUCAUUCUCUUUUGAUUAACUAUGAGCAUGAAAAACAUCAGCACCUUAAUUAGCCAUGAUGUCUGCAACAUCUGCAAAACAACACACACACACACACACACACACACACACACACACACACACACAUUGUAAUACACACAAAAACAAACUGCUGUGAAAAUGAUCCUUAAUUACACUCAGCAUUAGCAGCGUCACAUUUGAACACUGCUGCGGCGUAAAACAAAGACAUUAAUGUUGAGAAAAAUAAACAUUUUAUUAAAAACAACAUGAACUGAAAUAAGUAAGUAAUAACACACUUUAGGUUGUGGUGUUAUAGGAAAAUAAUCAACACAGUGGUUGUGUGAUGAAGUGUUAUGUGAAGAGUUACUUUUACAAACUGCUGACACUGGAGACUCCUUCCAGAAUUUUAAAAUAAAUUUCUCCUUACAAAUAAUUUAACCACAUCAUUUAUUGUUUACACACAAUUCUAUUUUAAUCUGUUUAUGCGGCAUGUCUGCUGUACACGUCCCUGUGAACAAGCCGUUACUAUAGCAACCAUAACGCAUCAGAACGACUGCAUUAAUAAAACCCUGCGCUAUUGUCAGAGUCGCUGUUAUAGAAAACUCAUCAACGCCUUCAGAUCCAAGAGUUCUACUGCUUUGUGGUAUACACACAGACACAAUCUGAUGUAAAACAAUCUGCAGUCUUAGUAAAGAAACAAGAUGUUCCAGAUGACACUAAUGUUUGGCUGAUCGGAAAUAAUCAGCACCUGCACCACAUUAUCACAUUAUCAGUCAGGGAGGAAAAUAAGAUUUUACUAAAAGUAAAAGUUUUUAUAAUGUGUUCUGCUCAUAACAGAGUGACUCAGCUAGUCAGGAUGUGUGAUGAACCAGAGACACACAUUUUACCCAAACAAACAGCAGGACAAGCGGACACAUGUGAUGAAUGAGUCAAGGCUAGCUUCAACAGCACACAGCAAUAUUAGCCGAAUUAGCAUAAAGUAAUCACACCUAAGUAGUUAGAUUCAGAGUCAGAGUCAUACAUUCCCCUUCCAGCAUGUUCAUCACAUGAGAGGAAACCAGUGUGUGACUUUAAUGUGAGCUGAAAACCU
Long non-coding RNA from Ictalurus punctatus (channel catfish), 3080 nucleotides. The record is from Ensembl. Lineage: Eukaryota; Metazoa; Chordata; Actinopteri; Siluriformes; Ictaluridae.